Molecule: ribosomal RNA, 443 nt
Filed under: uncultured bacterium
Lineage: Bacteria
Description: partial 16S ribosomal RNA
Rfam family: Bacterial small subunit ribosomal RNA
Source: RNAcentral
CCUACGGGUGGCUGCAGUGGGGAAUAUUGGGCAAUGGGCGCAAGCCUGACCCAGCAACGCCGCGUGAAGGAAGAAGGCUUUCGGGUUGUAAACUUCUUUUCUCAGGGACGAAGCAAGUGACGGUACCUGAGGAAUAAGCCACGGCUAACUACGUGCCAGCAGCCGCGGUAAUACGUAGGUGGCAAGCGUUAUCCGGAUUUACUGGGUGUAAAGGUCGUGUAGGCGGGACUGCAAGUCAGAUGUGAAAACCACGGGCUCAACCUGUGGCCUGCAUUUGAAACUGUAGUUCUUGAGUGCUGGAGAGGCAAUCGGAAUUCCGUGUGUAGCGGUGAAAUGCGUAGAUAUACGGAGGAACACCAGUGGCGAAGGCGGAUUGCUGGACAGUAACUGACGCUGAGGCGCGAAAGCGUGGGGAGCAAACAGGAUUAGAUACCCGUGUAGUC